This 27-nucleotide non-coding RNA is filed under the name Mus musculus (house mouse). The record is from RNAcentral. Lineage: Eukaryota; Metazoa; Chordata; Mammalia; Rodentia; Muridae.
UGCUGUUGCAUGCUACCUGGCUAAUCU